GACAGAGGGGGCGAGCGUUGUCCGGAGUCACUGGGCGUAAAGCGCGCGCAGGCGGCAACCUAAGUGUCGUGUGAAAGCCCCCGGCUCAACCGGGGGAGGCCAUGGCAAACUGGGUCGCUCGAGCUGCGGAGAGGCCCCUCGAAUUGCCGGUGUAGCGGUGAAAUGCGUAGAGAUCGGCAGGGAGACCAAGGGGGAAGCCAGGGGGCUGGCCGCAGGCUGCCGCUGAGGCGCGACAGCGUGGUGAGCAAACCGG
RNAcentral lists this ribosomal RNA (253 nucleotides) under uncultured bacterium. Its description in RNAcentral is "partial 16S ribosomal RNA". It matches the Rfam family "Bacterial small subunit ribosomal RNA", at positions 524 to 776 of the family's 1533-position model. The record is from RNAcentral.